AGGUGAACCUGCGGAAGGAUCAUUACCGAGUGAGGGCCCUCUGGGUCCAACCUCCCACCCGUGUUUAUUUUACCUUGUUGCUUCGGCGGGCCCGCCUUAACUGGCCGCCGGGGGGCUCACGCCCCCGGGCCCGCGCCCGCCGAAGACACCCUCGAACUCUGUCUGAAGAUUGAAGUCUGAGUGAAAAUAUAAAUUAUUUAAAACUUUCAACAACGGAUCUCUUGGUUCCGGCAUCGAUGAAGAACGCAGCGAAAUGCGAUACGUAAUGUGAAUUGCAAAUUCAGUGAAUCAUCGAGUCUUUGAACGCACAUUGCGCCCCCUGGUAUUCCGGGGGGCAUGCCUGUCCGAGCGUCAUUGCUGCCCUCAAGCCCGGCUUGUGUGUUGGGCCCCGUCCUCCGAUUUCCGGGGGACGGGCCCGAAAGGCAGCGGCGGCACCGCGUCCGGUCCUCGAGCGUAUGGGGCUUUGUCACCCGCUCUGUAGGCCCGGCCGGCGCUUGCCGAUCAACCCAAAUUUUUAUCCAGGUUGACCUCGGAUCAGGUAGGGAUACCCGCUGAACUUAAGCAUAUCAAUAAGCGGAGGAA
RNAcentral lists this ribosomal RNA (582 nucleotides) under Penicillium sp. BC37. RNAcentral describes it as "eukaryotic LSU rRNA". The stretch from base 202 to 354 matches the Rfam family "5.8S ribosomal RNA". The record is from RNAcentral. Lineage: Eukaryota; Fungi; Ascomycota; Eurotiomycetes; Eurotiales; Aspergillaceae.